GAUGAACGCUGGCGGCGUGCCUAAUACAUGCAAGUCGAGCGAACGGACGAGAAGCUUGCUUCUCUGAUGUUAGCGGCGGACGGGUGAGUAACACGUGGAUAACCUACCUAUAAGACUGGGAUAACUUCGGGAAACCGGAGCUAAUACCGGAUAAUAUUUUGAACCGCAUGGUUCAAAAGUGAAAGACGGUCUUGCUGUCACUUAUAGAUGGAUCCGCGCUGCAUUAGCUAGUUGGUAAGGUAACGGCUUACCAAGGCAACGAUGCAUAGCCGACCUGAGAGGGUGAUCGGCCACACUGGAACUGAGGCACGGUCCAGACUCCUACGGGAGGCAGCAGUAGGGAAUCUUCCGCAAUGGGCGAAAGCCCGACGGAGCAACGCCGCGUGAGUGAUGAAGGUCUUCGGAUCGUAAAACUCUGUUAUUAGGGAAGAACAUAUGUGUAAGUAACUGUGCACAUCUUGACGGUACCUAAUCAGAAAGCCACGGCUAACUACGUG
This 497-nucleotide ribosomal RNA is filed under the name uncultured bacterium. RNAcentral's name for it is "partial 16S ribosomal RNA". It matches the Rfam family "Bacterial small subunit ribosomal RNA", at positions 28 to 507 of the family's 1533-position model. The record is from RNAcentral.